UCCGAUAUAGUGUAACGGCUAUCACAUCACGCUUUCACCGUGGAGACCG
This 49-nucleotide transfer RNA is filed under the name Saccharomyces cerevisiae YJM1443. Its description in RNAcentral is "partial tRNA-Glu". Lineage: Eukaryota; Fungi; Ascomycota; Saccharomycetes; Saccharomycetales; Saccharomycetaceae. The record is from RNAcentral.